RNAcentral lists this unclassified non-coding RNA (1934 nucleotides) under Rhagoletis pomonella (apple maggot). RNAcentral describes it as "transmembrane protein 209-like, transcript variant X1". The record is from RNAcentral. Lineage: Eukaryota; Metazoa; Arthropoda; Insecta; Diptera; Tephritidae.
AUAGUUGGUCGUUCUUGGGCAAAACUAGUUAUUUAUAUCCCUGCUGUUUUAAAUUACUAAUUAUUUACGUAUUAAUUACACGUAAGCAAUGCAGUGUUUACAAAAAUAUUGCGGCUCGCCGAACAGAUUGGUGGAACGCGGCCUGGAUUUGCAUCUGCGUGCAAAACGCGCCAAAGAUUGUCUGCGUUGGGGUUCUUUGAAUGUAGUGCUGCUAGCAAUCCUGCUUUUCGACAUAUCUAAUCAGUGUCCAUAUGCGUACUCCAAAUGGUACUAUGUAGAAUAUUUGGCGGCUGCGCUAUCGGGACUUGGAGCAUUUUCAUGCUUCUUAAAGUACUUUCUCUACCUAUUCCAUACAAAUCCGAUAUUGGGUACAAAGGAACAGAAAAACUUACUCAAGUUUGAUGAGUGUGAUUCCUCAUUUGUUGUUACACCACCAGCGCAAAGAAAAAAGCAAUCAUGCGAUGAUUUGGCGCCUAGUCAAAUCAACAACACUCUUCUAAGCUGGCAUUCAUCGUUUAACGACUCUCGCGCUGCCAUGUCUCACAAUUGGAGUUACAGCCGCACUACGCCGCCACGUACCAGCUUUAGCCCGCAGCAACAAACGGCACCGCAUAAUGCGUCCUGGAAUUCUUCUAUGGGCAACAGAUCACUCACGCUUCCAGCAAAUACUAGUGGUUUAAACAAUACCAAUCCCAUGAUCGAAUCUUAUCCUAAAUACAGGCGUGAGGAGCUGAUAACAGAUAAAGAGACCCUAAAACAAUAUCUAAAAGAAUUUUCUAUGCAUGAGCAAAGCAUGAACGACACAGCCGAUGUGAGCCAUCACUAUAAUACAGGUUCAGUGAAUUCAUUCUGGAACUAUUGCAAUACAGCAGCAAAUAUGCUAAAAACUUCCAUUUAUCAAUUGGCUCCAAUGACAACGCCUUCCAUACCUAGUAAACAAUCAGCAAGCGAAGAUGGUGGCCUCAAAUUUAUGGAUAGCAAUUCGGAGAUUAUAAGACGUAUUUCAUCUGAAAAACUAUCGCAAUAUGUGGCCAAUUUGCGAAGGUGGAUGUCUGCAACCAUUCUGGAGCGUUUAGCUAAAGAAAUUAAAAACAUAGAUGAGUCAUUUAAGAAUCGUGGAUUCGCUGAUAUGCGUAUGGGUGGCAUUGGACUGGAGCGCCUAAAGAAAACUGUUGAAAACCAACAAUUUGUUAAUCAGUACAUGCCAAUGUUGCCAUUGAUUCUGCCAUUUUUGGAAAUGUCUAGUAAUCAAGAGUAUCUAGUACAGCGGAUUAAAGAUUUGGCAGAAGGCUCUUGCAUAGCUGACUACCGCUGGAACUCAGGUGCAGCUUACCAUGGUCUAAAAUGGGAUGAGCAUCUACCCACUGAUUCGGCUAUAUUGUUUCACCUAUUUUGCGUUUACAUGGAUAGUCAACUAAUGCCUCUGCCACAAGGUGGUGGUCGCCCCUUCUUCAGUCGUUAUGUGAUUAUAGGCAAGGAGAAACGUUCUGCCAAGGAAACGGUAGCGCUUGUUCAAAAUAAAGCACACUGCGCUAUACUAUGUACGAACCCGCAGAAGCCACGUUUUAAUUUCAUAAGUGAUAAAGAAAUUCAUACAUGCGCCUACGAUCGUAAUAAUCUUUUCUAUGUGAUCAUACAAUUUUUAAUCUACAUGAAGACCCAUCAGGAAGGUGCUUUGGAAGGUGUCAAUCUUGGUAAAAGCGGCAUUAAUGUCUUGUGUGUCAUCGAAAGCUGAAUAUCGGAUUUAGCCAAGUAAUUUUUACGCUUUCCUCACUCAUACUCAUACAUAUUCUUACAAUAACCCACAAAUUAAGACACUUAAAAAUAAAAGUUCCUGCCAAAGUGUCUUUGCCUAAGGGGAAUUUCAGCAGUUGAUAAAUAACCCACAACGGAAAACACAAAAAGAUCGCGCAGAGUGAUAUGCCACGGUGAGA